Molecule: non-coding RNA, 3358 nt
Organism: Doryrhamphus excisus (bluestripe pipefish)
Lineage: Eukaryota; Metazoa; Chordata; Actinopteri; Syngnathiformes; Syngnathidae
Source: RefSeq, a predicted model, not a curated record
ACAAACAUUAACAAUAAAGAGUAUAGUUGAUACCGGCUGUGCUUGAAAUCAAAAGCCAGUGGAGAGGAGCUACAUUUAUUGAAACAUAGACGUGUCUAGUCAAUGUUUAGGUAAACUUUAUAAUGACAGUGCCGUGUUACACUUAAUACGUAAUUACAACCAGCAUUUAGCGAACGAAUUAACGGGUUAGCCUUCUGUUAGCAUUGAUUGUAAACGGAACCUCCACCAGCUAACACUGUUAGCAUGCUAUCAUUCGCACCCUGAUUCCAAAAUGGACCUCUUUAAAAAACGAAACAAAGUCAGGCGUAUGUAUUUGUCUAUACCUCAGCGUAAAGGUGAGAGUACUUACGGGAAGGCGAGGGCUAAUCUCUGCGGAGCAUCUGUGACAGAAGAACCGGCUAGGCCAUGGAUGUGCUUCAGCCAUCUUUAGCCUCUGAGGCGGAGAGGUACUCUGGCAUUCUCCCAGAUCAAUAAAACGUGCAUAUCAUGCUACUUGGGUUUACAGGAGACAAUUCCCAAGAACCCCAACAGGCUGACCUCAUUCAUGGUCAGACUGGAGUUGGACCACGCUGUGUCCAGGCGGCCCCCAGCACAGCACUCCUCUCUGGUGACCCCUCUCAUCAGCACCAUGUCACACCGUUGGCUCUGCUGCAGCCAGCACAUCCCGCCUGCCGACAGACAUAUAGGAAACCGGAGUACCGGGAGAAAACCCACGCAUGCACGGGGAGAACAUGCCAACUACACACAGAGAUGGCUGAGGUUGGAAUUGAACCCUGGUCUCCUAGCUGUGAGGCCCUGGUUUGCCUGAUGGGAGGAGCUACCCCGCCAGCUACAGGUGUUCCCAAUCACCUCCUCUCCCAUUUAAGCACACCUGUGGCAGCAGGAGGGUGUCGUAGUAUUGUUCCUUUUGGACGCAUGCCACAUGCUAGACAGACCUGACCUUCUGCCACCUUUUUUCUGCUGUAGUGUUGUUUUCUCCCCUGCAGCUCGACGCCCUCCUAUCAGCCAGGUUUUUUUCUUCAAAACAGGGCAACUAUCCACCCACGCAUCCAUCCAUCCAUUUUCUAUACCGCUUAACUGUCACGGGUAUGCUGGAGCCUAUCCCAGCUGACUUCAGACACACCCUGGACUGUUCACCAGCCAAUACAAGGCCACUAUUGUAUACAAGCAUGCCAGGUCAUUCAACAAAACAUUGGAUCUCAAGAAGAUGUUAACUCAUUUACUUCUCUGAAGACCUCCUCAACAUAAUUUGCAAUCAAGCAAACAGCAAAAUGUUGGAGAAAGAGAAAUGGAGAAAGCGUACCACCGCUUGGCAGGAAGAGAGUUCACUCAUUGCAUUCGUUCAGCAUCUAGGCCAGGGGUGGCUAACCGGUCAAAGGUCAAGAGCCACAUCAUACAUAUCAUACAGAUGGAAGGCAACAAAACAAAAAAAACCCUGCAUAUUGAAAUGAAGGCCAACACUUUGGGAUGUUUUUUUUCCCCUUUGGAGAAGGAGAACUUCCUGUUUUGUGAGUCUACACAAACUUUUUUUUCCCCCAGUUGUUAAAUUGCAGUUUUGAUUUGACAUAUACGUAUUUGUCAAGCUUUUGUUGUCAUUAAUUGCCGGCCAUAGUGAGUGAAUAUGAAACCAGUAAAACACCAGUAAAAUAAAAGUAAAAUAAAGCAAAAUGCACCUAGCUUAAGUCUUAAGGAAUUAGACUUUUGAGACAUAUCUUCCUAAAAAGCUGAGACUAGAUCAAAUUAAAAUAAAAUGUGUUUAUGUUUAUAAAUAUUUCUCAGCAUUUGAGCACCCUUUUCCAAAGCAUUUUGGUUGAACUCGCAGUCGCUUCAGGAACAGCAAUCGCCUUUAUUUGAUCAAGUAGAUGAUGAUUGAUUGACACAGCAUUUAUUAGAGUGGAGUGCGGUGGCAGUGUAGAGGGAGUAAAAGCUUUAAAAAAAAAAAAGAAUAAAAGCUGUCGCUCAUACUUACCACCCACUCUCCCAAUUUAAAUGUUAUGAAUGACAAACCUGAAAAUAAUGAGGAGGGUGGCAGCUGUUUCCACUUAACUAAGGAUGUGGAGAAGCUCCCUUACUGUGAGGAUGUGGAUAGGAUGUAUCAGAAUAAUAACAAAAUAAAAGACAAUAAGCUAUUCACCUGUGACACCCUACCUUUAUAGUGAGGACAUAUUGUCGUUGUGGGGACAUGGCUGGUUCUUAAUAUACAGUGGUGCCUUGGUUUAGCAUCAGUAAUCUGUUCCAGAAGGUCUGACUCUAACCAAAACGUACUCUAACUAAGAUAGGUUGAUAAGUGCAGCUCUCCUUUAAAGGGAACCGACUCGGCUUUUUCCACUUUUCUGAAAUAAACGUAGUUAGAAUAUUAUAUUUUCGUGUUACACGAUGCCAAAGUUUCAGAUAAUGAGGUUUGCGAAUUUGGAAGAAAUUUGGGAUGACUCUGAAUGCUUGGUUUCAGAGAUUUUCUUCGUGAUGUAACAGUCUGACAGUUCCAACGUUACUUGGUUAUGUUGUAGAGUCAGAAGCACAGGCUGUAAGUAACGGUGUCCUAACUGUUUAUUUUGUGUAAGUAAGCAGUUGCCUGUGUAGCAUUAUAGAGUGUGCAUACAGGGAGCGGGGCACAAAUGACAAACUCACCGAUGUCUGGAGUUGCUAAUAGCCCUUUUCUACCACCAGUCAGUGGUCUACUCAAGUUUUUUAAACACGGGUAGUCCUGCAAAAAUUGUGUAAUGACCAAAUUUCUACUACCGAUGUUGUGCUAAAAUUGUUACAGAAGACUUCCGGACUACUGCCGUUUUGUGUUUACAUUUUAGGCUUUCUGCAAAGGAUUAAUUGGAUUGAACUUAUUUCUUUUGGAAAAAAAUAUUCGGUUAGUGUCCAUUUUGGUUAGAGUUGGACCUUUUAGAAUGAAUUAAUGACACUAUUAGACGCAUUUAGCUUAAAAAGCAACACAUCAUUAGAAGGUCUGAUGUGUUAAUUGCUGGUAUGCCGGCCAGGUGUUUACCUUUUGGGAAACCCUGUAGGGAAAGAAUGUAUGUAAAUGGAAUAUUUAUGAUAUAUGAUAAGGGGCUCAGUUGAGACAUGAUGAGGCCGGACAGAGGGUCUUUGGAAUUACCAACGGGAACUUUUAUGGUCAUAUAGACUGACCCUCAUAAAACAACCUGGAAUGGUAGGAAGACAUCAGAGGAUCAGGUGACAAAAUGUUCCUUCAGAUCCUUCAAAGGAAGGGGAGCGGAACAGACUAAGAUGAAAGACUGGACAAUGUUUGGUGCCUUUUAGACAAGAGAACUCAAGGGGUGGAUGGCAUAAUUGGAAUUAAAAAGUAGACUGGGCUAUCUUCAAAAAUAGCUGAAAAAAGUUGGAAAAA